This 108-nucleotide non-coding RNA is filed under the name bovine gut metagenome. RNAcentral's name for it is "FMN riboswitch (RFN element)". It matches the Rfam family "FMN riboswitch aptamer (RFN element)". From Rfam's summary of the family: The RFN element is a highly conserved domain that is found frequently in the 5'-untranslated regions of prokaryotic mRNAs that encode for flavin mononucleotide (FMN) biosynthesis and transport proteins. The record is from RNAcentral.
UAUCUUCAGGGCAGGGUGAAAUUCCCGAUCGGCGGUACAGUCCGCGAGCCGAAUGGCUGACCCGGUGCGACUCCGGGACCGACAGUUACAGUCUGGAUGGAAGAAGAG